Molecule: non-coding RNA, 31 nt
Filed under: Homo sapiens (human)
Lineage: Eukaryota; Metazoa; Chordata; Mammalia; Primates; Hominidae
Source: RNAcentral
UCUGGGGCUCAGCUUCCAGUCCAUCACCAGA